AAGUUUUGGUGGGGGAGUAAGGAAGGCAAGAGGAAAGCUAGUUGGGUUUCGGGGAGCAUGAUGACGAGGCCGAAACAUUGCGUACGUUUAGGAUUCCAUGAUAUAGAGUUGUUCAACUUGGCCUUGCUAGCGAAACAAGCAUGGCGCAUACUGACUGAUCCUACAAUGCUAAGUGCCAGAAUAUUGAUGGCGAAGUAUUUCCCUACCACUAAGUUUCUUCAGGCAGAGCUAGGAGGAAGCCCCUCGCACGUAUGACGGUCAAUAUUAUAUGGGCAUGAUACUCUCUCUCAGGGGAUAAUACGGAGAAUUGGGGAAGACAACACCAAACGGAGUCCUUGUUUUUGA
Molecule: ribosomal RNA, 345 nt
Filed under: Triticum aestivum (bread wheat)
Lineage: Eukaryota; Viridiplantae; Streptophyta; Magnoliopsida; Poales; Poaceae
Description: partial small subunit ribosomal RNA
Source: RNAcentral